UACGUAGGGUGCGAGCGUUGUUCGGAAUUACUGGGCGUAAAGAGCUCGUAGGUGGUUUGUCACGUCGUCUGUGAAAUUCCGGGGCUUAACCUCAGGCGUGCAGGCGAUACGGGCAAUACUUGAGUGCUGUAGGGGAGACUGGAAUUCCUGGUGUAGCGGUGAAAUGCGCAGAUAUCAGGAGGAACACCAAUGGCGAAGGCGGGUCUCUGGGCAGUUACUGACGCUGAGGAGCGAAAGCAUGGGUAGCGAACAGGAUUAGA
This 260-nucleotide ribosomal RNA is filed under the name uncultured prokaryote. RNAcentral's name for it is "partial 16S ribosomal RNA". It matches the Rfam family "Bacterial small subunit ribosomal RNA", at positions 524 to 782 of the family's 1533-position model. The record is from RNAcentral.